Molecule: ribosomal RNA, 253 nt
Filed under: uncultured bacterium
Lineage: Bacteria
Description: partial 16S ribosomal RNA
Rfam family: Bacterial small subunit ribosomal RNA
Source: RNAcentral
UACGGAGGGUGCGAGCGUUAAUCGGAAUAACUGAGCGUAAAGCGCGCGUAGGCGGUUUUUUAAGUCUGAUGUGAAAGCCCACGGCUCAACCGUGGAGGGUCAUUGGAAACUGGAAAACUUGAGUGCAGAAGAGGAAAGUGGAAUUCCAUGUGUAGCGGUGAAAUGCGCAGAGAUAUGGAGGAACACCAGUGGCGAAGGCGACUUUCUGGUCUGUGAUUGACGCUGAGGCUCGAAAGCGUGGGUAGCGAACAGG